GACGAACGCUGGCGGCGUGCCUAAUACAUGCAAGUCGAACGAACCGCGACUAGGUGCUUGCACUUGGUCAAGGUGAGUGGCGAACGGGUGAGUAACACGUGGGUAACCUACCUCAUAGUGGGGGAUAACAGUCGGAAACGACUGCUAAUACCGCAUAGGACAUAGGAUCACAUGAUCCAGUGAGGAAAGGUGGCGCAAGCUAUCGCCAAGAGAUGGACCCGCGGUGCAUUAGCUAGUUGGUAGGGUAAAGGCCUACCAAGGCGAUGAUGCAUAGCCGACCUGAGAGGGUGAUCGGCCACAUUGGGACUGAGACACGGCCCAAACUCCUACGGGAGGCAGCAGUAGGGAAUCUUCCGCAAUGGACGCAAGUCUGACGGAGCAACGCCGCGUGAGUGAAGAAGGUCUUCGGAUCGUAAAGCUCUGUUGUUAGAGAAGAACAGCGCAUAGAGUAACUGUUAUGCGUGUGACGGUAUCUAACCAGAAAGCCACGGCUAACUACGUG
This 502-nucleotide ribosomal RNA is filed under the name uncultured bacterium. RNAcentral describes it as "partial 16S ribosomal RNA". It matches the Rfam family "Bacterial small subunit ribosomal RNA", at positions 28 to 507 of the family's 1533-position model. The record is from RNAcentral.